UGCACGGUGGCGUAGUGGUUAGCACAUUUGCCUCACACCUCACACCAGGGUUCGAUUCCCGUCGGGGCCA
Molecule: non-coding RNA, 70 nt
Organism: Ameiurus melas (black bullhead)
Lineage: Eukaryota; Metazoa; Chordata; Actinopteri; Siluriformes; Ictaluridae
Source: the annotation of a GenBank genome assembly